UACGGAGGGUGCAAGCGUUAUCCGGAUUCACUGGGUUUAAAGGGUGCGUAGGUGGGUUGGGAAGUCAGUGGUGAAAUACUUUCGCUUAACGAAGGAACUGCCAUUGAUACUAUCAAUCUUGAAUGUAGUGGAGGUAGGCGGAAUGCGUCAUGUAGCGGUGAAAUGCUUAGAUAUGACGCAGAACACCAAUUGCGAAGGCAGCUUGCUACACUACUAUUGACACUGAGGCACGAAAGCGUGGGGAGCAAACAGG
This 253-nucleotide ribosomal RNA is filed under the name uncultured bacterium. RNAcentral's name for it is "partial 16S ribosomal RNA". It matches the Rfam family "Bacterial small subunit ribosomal RNA", at positions 524 to 776 of the family's 1533-position model. The record is from RNAcentral.